Molecule: non-coding RNA, 424 nt
Organism: Styela clava
Lineage: Eukaryota; Metazoa; Chordata; Ascidiacea; Stolidobranchia; Styelidae
Source: RefSeq, a predicted model, not a curated record
AAUCUACUGACGUUUAAUAUUGGCAUGAUUGAUGGUGGACUGACGACUGAUAGGUGUAGGUAGAAAGGGCUUUGCGAAGAAGGAAGAUAUUGUUACUGCUAGUAGACGAGUGGCGAUUGGUCGAUGUAAACGGAAAGGUCUUUGUUAAGGUUAUAUAUUGAGGUUAUAUAUAUAAGAAGAUAUUGUUACUUCUGCUGGUCGAUCGAUGACGGCUGGAAGUAAAUGGACAGCAGGCAUACGAAUGCGAAAUGAGAUUUUGAAGAAACAGAGCAAUGCUCAAAUAUAUGGAGACAAAGCCGGAACGAAAUAUUCCACCCGUAUAUUCUCCAAAAUUCAUAUCUUGGUCUCGGGAUGGCUGCAGUUGAUUCUGCCGGGAACAUCGAAUCAAGGCGAUAUCAAUCUUACAAAUCGGAUUAAAGUAAGU